RNAcentral lists this unclassified non-coding RNA (24 nucleotides) under Mus musculus (house mouse). RNAcentral's name for it is "oocyte_clustered_small_RNA5103". Lineage: Eukaryota; Metazoa; Chordata; Mammalia; Rodentia; Muridae. The record is from RNAcentral.
UCAUCCAUGUCAAUUGGGUCCGGC